Molecule: ribosomal RNA, 481 nt
Filed under: uncultured bacterium
Lineage: Bacteria
Description: partial 16S ribosomal RNA
Rfam family: Bacterial small subunit ribosomal RNA
Source: RNAcentral
GAUGAACGCUGGCGGCGUGCUUAACACAUGCAAGUCGAACGCUGAAGCCCUUUCGGGGGUGGAUGAGUGGCGAACGGGUGAGUAACACGUGGGUAAUCUGCCCUGCACUCUGGGAUAAGCCUUGGAAACGGGGUCUAAUACCGGAUAGGACACAUCGCCGCAUGGUGUGUGUGUGGAAAGUUCCGGCGGUGCAGGUUGAGCCCGCGGCCUAUCAGCUUGUUGGGGGGGUGAUGGCCUACCAAGGCGACGACGGGUAGCCGGCCUGAGAGGGUGACCGGCCACACUGGGACUGAGACACGGCCCAGACUCCUACGGGAGGCAGCAGUGGGGAAUCUUGCGCAAUGGGCGAAAGCCUGACGCAGCAACGCCGCGUGGGGGAUGACGGCCUUCGGGUUGUAAACCUCUUUCGACCGGGACGAAGGGUGACUGACGGUACCGGUAGAAGAAGCACCGGCUAACUACGUGCCAGCAGCCGCGGUAA